AACGUAGGACGCAAGCGUUAUCCGGAGUUACUGGGCGUAAAGCGCGGGCAGGCGGCUCUGUAAGUCUGAUGUGAAAGCGCCCGGCUCAACCGGGCGAGGCCAUUGGAAACUACAAAGCUGGAGGGCAGUAGAGGCAGGCGGAAUUCCGGGUGGAGUGGUGAAAUGCGUAGAGAUCCGGAGGAACACCAGAGGCGAAGGCGGCCUGCUGGGCUGCACCUGACGCUGAGCCGCGAAAGCCAGGGGAGCGAACGGG
RNAcentral lists this ribosomal RNA (253 nucleotides) under uncultured bacterium. RNAcentral describes it as "partial 16S ribosomal RNA". It matches the Rfam family "Bacterial small subunit ribosomal RNA", at positions 524 to 776 of the family's 1533-position model. The record is from RNAcentral.